UAUUAAAAAUUCCAUCCAUUUGUCCAUUUGUACUAUUAAAAACUGACGUGGCUAAUAAAACAAUCGAGCAAUGACACAUGACAUGCCAUGUGUAUCUCAUGUUGAUGUACACGAAUCUGUUUUUAAUAGUAGAAAUUGAUGAAAUUUUUAACA
Gossypium hirsutum (cotton) is the source of this 153-nucleotide non-coding RNA. The record is from Rfam. Lineage: Eukaryota; Viridiplantae; Streptophyta; Magnoliopsida; Malvales; Malvaceae.